Molecule: long non-coding RNA, 235 nt
Filed under: Mytilus galloprovincialis (Mediterranean mussel)
Lineage: Eukaryota; Metazoa; Mollusca; Bivalvia; Mytilida; Mytilidae
Source: RNAcentral
GUGGUAGACAGAUAUUCCUUGAUUAGUACAUUAGUACUAAAACUUUCAUUACACAGAGAUUAAUAUCAAUUAAAUUAUUAUCUCCUGCUUGAAAUAACAUUUGUAUGAAAUACUAAUGACCAGCUAUAAAUCCAUUUCUCCCAGAAAGUCGGAAGUCUGUUUAUUUUUUAAAAACAAUACAGUCACUGGAGUGUGUUAUACAGAACAAUCCUUAUAAUCAUGACAGGAUCAAGCC